CUCAAACAUUGCGCCAACCUACUCCGUACACUGUGGGUAAUGAGAAAUAGCAGGUCUUGCAGAUCGUCGUAACUUGGAAUAUCUCAAUUCAUGCUCUGGAACUCUAUUCCACAAAUAUGAGGAUUCCAAGUUACACCUGUCAAGCCACCAAAAAAACACGCGCAGAGUACUCUUGAAUAAUUGAUUGUCAAGAUCAUAUCCAAACAAAAGCUGCGGUAACUCCAUACCCCAUGCGCAUGCGGACUGCACGAACUACGCCGUUCAAUUAACGUUCCCAUCCGUUUGGUAAUCCAGGAGCUCACUGGCGCCCACCAAAGAAGCCCAACACUCAGGAAGGCAAAACUUAGACUUGAGCCUUGCUACAAUGGUUGGUGCUAAUCGACAUGACAUUCCAAUGCCAAAUGGUUACUAAAGCACUGCCGGACAGUCCUUGACUUUGACCUCUGACAACGUCUGCCUACGAAGAUAGAGAACUGUCGAGGCAGAGAAAGAAGAGAGCGGAAAGCGGCGUCCAAAAUACAUUCCCCAAACCUUGAUUUAUUAAACGCUUCCCGCUUGAGUGCGGUUUAAGUUUUCAGAAUCUAUUCGUCAUUGGAGCGGCAAAUAGACCCGG
RNAcentral lists this small RNA (613 nucleotides) under Histoplasma capsulatum. RNAcentral's name for it is "hypothetical RNA". Lineage: Eukaryota; Fungi; Ascomycota; Eurotiomycetes; Onygenales; Ajellomycetaceae. RNAcentral also lists the same sequence under 1 other name. The record is from RNAcentral.